UCGAGGAUCUUCGGCAAUGGGCGCAAGCCUGACCGAGCGACGCCGCGUGUGCGAUGAAGGCCUUCGGGUUGUAAAGCACUGUCGGGAGGAAGAAAGACCCGCAAGGGUUUGAUCGACCUUCGGAGGAAGCACGGGCUAAGUUCGUGCCAGCAGCCGCGGUAAGACGAACCGUGCGAACGUUAUUCGGAAUCACUGGGCUUAAAGGGCGCGUAGGCGGGCUCGCCAGUCAGGGGUGAAAGCCCACGGCUCAACCGUGGAAGUGCCUUUGAUACUGCGAGUCUCGAGGGAGGUAGGGGCGUGCGGAACUUCCGGUGGAGCGGUGAAAUGCGUAGAUAUCGGAAGGAACACCGGUGGCGAAAGCGGCGCGCUGGACCUCUUCUGACGCUGAGGCGCGAAAGCCAGGGGAGCAAACGGGAUUAGAUACCCCCGUAGUCC
RNAcentral lists this ribosomal RNA (435 nucleotides) under uncultured bacterium. RNAcentral describes it as "bacterial SSU rRNA". It matches the Rfam family "Bacterial small subunit ribosomal RNA", at positions 355 to 796 of the family's 1533-position model. The record is from RNAcentral.